This 728-nucleotide small RNA is filed under the name Pongo abelii (Sumatran orangutan). RNAcentral's name for it is "retained intron". Lineage: Eukaryota; Metazoa; Chordata; Mammalia; Primates; Hominidae. The record is from RNAcentral.
AUUUUCUGUUAAUAUCUCCUGAAGGUUCAGAAGGGUUCUUGAAAGGCCCCCUGUCUGAAGAAACAGAAGCAUCGGACAGUGUUGAUGGAGGUCACGAUUCUGUCGUUUUGGAUCCACAGCGACUUGAGCCUGAGCUAGAUGAGGAGGACACGGACUUUGAGGAGGAAGAUGACAACCCCGACUGGGUGUCAGAGCUGAAGAAGCGAGCUGGAUGGCAAGGCCUGUGCGACGGAUAAUGCCUGAGGAAAUGUUCCUGAGUCACGCUGAGGAGAGGCUUCACUCAGGAGUUCAUGUUGAGAUGAUCAUGAGUUCAUGCGACGUAUAUUUUCCUUUGGAAACAGAAUGAAGCAGAGGAAACUCUUAAUACUUAAAAUUGUUCUUGAUUAAUAUCAUGAGUUUGAAAAGUCUAGAACUCCUGUAAGUUUUUGAACUCAAGGGAGAAGGUAUAGUGGAAUGAGUGUGAGCAUCGGGCUUUGCAGUCCCAUAGAACAGAAAUGGGAUGCUAGCCUGCCACUACCUACUUGUGUGAUUGUGGGAAAUUACUUAACCUCUUCAAGUCCCAAUUUCCUCUACCAUAAAAUGAAGAUAAUAAUGCCUACCUCAGAGGGAUGCUGACCACAGACCUUUAUAGCAGCCCGUAUGUUAUUAUUCACAUUAUGGUUUGUGUUUAUUAUUAUGUGACUCUUUUUACAUUUCCUAAAGGUUUGAGAAUAUAUUUAAUUAUGAUA